UUUUUAUGGAGAGUUUGAUCCUGGCUCAGGAUGAACGCUGGCGGCGUGCCUAAUACAUGCAAGUCGAGCGAACAGACGAGGAGCUUGCUCCUCUGACGUUAGCGGCGGACGGGUGAGUAACACGUGGAUAACCUACCUAUAAGACUGGGAUAACUUCGGGAAACCGGAGCUAAUACCGGAUAAUAUAUUGAACCGCAUGGUUCAAUAGUGAAAGACGGUUUUGCUGUCACUUAUAGAUGGAUCCGCGCCGCAUUAGCUAGUUGGUAAGGUAACGGCUUACCAAGGCAACGAUGCGUAGCCGACCUGAGAGGG
RNAcentral lists this ribosomal RNA (312 nucleotides) under Staphylococcus epidermidis NIH08001. RNAcentral's name for it is "bacterial SSU rRNA". It matches the Rfam family "Bacterial small subunit ribosomal RNA", at positions 1 to 300 of the family's 1533-position model. Lineage: Bacteria; Bacillati; Bacillota; Bacilli; Caryophanales; Staphylococcaceae. The record is from RNAcentral.